RNAcentral lists this ribosomal RNA (422 nucleotides) under uncultured bacterium. RNAcentral describes it as "bacterial SSU rRNA". It matches the Rfam family "Bacterial small subunit ribosomal RNA", at positions 355 to 774 of the family's 1533-position model. The record is from RNAcentral.
UAAGGAAUAUUGGUCAAUGGACGCAAGUCUGAACCAGCCAUGCCGCGUGGAGGAUGAAGGUCCUCUGGAUUGUAAACUUCUUUUAUCUGGGACGAAACACUUCUUUUCUAAGAGGCCUGACGGUACCAGAUGAAUAAGCACCGGCUAACUCCGUGCCAGCAGCCGCGGUAAUACGGAGGGUGCAAGCGUUAUCCGGAUUCACUGGGUUUAAAGGGUGCGUAGGUGGGUAUGUAAGUCAGUGGUGAAAUCCCCGAGCUUAACUUGGGAACUGCCAUUGAUACUAUAUAUCUUCAAUACCGUAGAGGUAAGCGGAAUAUGUCAUGUAGCGGUGAAAUGCUUAGAUAUGACAUGGAACACCAAUUGCGAAGGCAGCUUACUAUGCGGUGAUUGACACUGAGGCACGAAAGCGUGGGUAGCAAACA